AUAAGAGAGGCAUUCCUAGGAGAAAGGGAGUGUUGAGUGGAGACUGCAGGCUACAGUCAUUUUUUUGGGAGGAGGCUUUGGAAACUGGUAGGCCCAGGAUAAAAAGGGGAACCAGCACUAGGAAGAGUGCUGAGGCCAAGGAGAAGCCCAGAUUGCUGAGCUGAGGGUCUCUGGGUUGGAAUCCAGAGAAGAGGGUGGGCCAGGGUUCCCCUACCAGUUACUGAGCAAGUGGUACUAGAGGUAGUGAGUGGGAAGAUUGCCUAGGAAUAUUGAGAAGCUAAAUCUUCCCUACAAGUGGGGGAGGGCACUGAUAGUAAUGUGGCUGGAGGGUUGAGCCACACAGAGGAUGCUGUGGUUCCUGAGGCUGUGAGAGGGACUGCAGAUAGACAUAGAGACAGACUGAUGGUGUGUGAGCUGUGGAUUGGAGGGGGCGUCAGCCUCAGCUAAUCCUCAGAGUACCAUGAGGAAAUGCCAGCCCAAUGGAGCGCCUGGAGGCCGGGCUCCCAUUGGGUAAAAGACUGUACGCACCCAGAACAAAAAGACCGUCAAAGAUGCCCUCCAGCAACACGAUCUUUGAAAAUUUAACAAAGUUAAAGAGCAUUUUGCCAUAUUAUACAUUCAGUCUGGCUCUGAAAAGAUACUCAAGAGCAGUGGAAAUCUGAGUCUUUAGCAAAGAUGAGUGACCAAUUCUAACUACAAGAAAGGCUCAUGGUAUUUCCAGUCCAUUCAGAAGUACGAAAUAUUAAAACUCUCAUCAGCUUUGCCUAGUAAGUAUUCCAGCCCAGUGUUUUAGACCUGUGAAAUUCAGAAAAGCAUCAGGACUUUGAUUCAGUUCACAUAAGCACCCCAAUCUAUGAACAUUUUGAGGUUUGUGCACCUCUGGAAGGUAGAGUAAGAAAUGAAGUAUAAUAGCAGACUUUGCUGACAUCUCUGCUAAUGGUCACCUGUUGAUCUUGGUAUCCAGAGUUCCUCCAUGUUACUUACAUUUAAUUCUGCAGACAUUUGUUAUAAUGGCCAGAAAAAAUGAGUCACAUUGGUGGUUUUAAUGAACAAUUUCCCAGUAUAAUAAAAACUGUAGUUUACUGAGUCAUAAUAACAAGAAUAAACAUGUGCCUCUGGGAAUUUCACCAAUUGUAAAGCUAAAUUUGACUUCUAAUGUUUGCAGAGAAUUUCUUGGAGGCAUUUCUUUGGUAAACGUUCUUUGUUCAAAGCUGACUAAUGUUUAUACAAAUAUCUUUUAAUACAAUGCUUAAUAUACCAGUGGCUGAACUGAGCCAAAAUAGUGGACAGUGUUUCAUGUGACCUUUGGGAAAUCAAAACAAAAGGAACCCAGAAUUUAGCUUGAUGAUGUAAACAGUAGACUAAGAGAAAAAUGCUCUAUUGUAAAGACACAAUGCAGAGAAACGUGCUCUCAGAAGUGAUUAGUUCUAGACUUGAGUGAAUUGGGGGGAAAACAUGUCUGAUGAAUUAAAUUGUCUGUUUUAGUUUUAAACCGAUUUCAACCAAUAAGGCACAACAAGACUUG
Molecule: long non-coding RNA, 1525 nt
Organism: Mauremys mutica (yellowpond turtle)
Lineage: Eukaryota; Metazoa; Chordata; Testudines; Geoemydidae
Exons: 3
Source: RefSeq, a predicted model, not a curated record